Long non-coding RNA from Hydractinia symbiolongicarpus, 3336 nucleotides. RefSeq lists it as uncharacterized. The transcript has 3 exons. The record is from RefSeq and is a predicted model, not a curated record. Lineage: Eukaryota; Metazoa; Cnidaria; Hydrozoa; Anthoathecata; Hydractiniidae.
UUAGGAGAAUUUCCAAAGCUACCCGUAUUUAAUAUUAAAACAGGUAGCAGUGUCUCCAAAGCUACCUGUUAACUAUUUAAACAGGGGACAUGAUUUAUUUUUCCACUAUUAGAAAUGACAUUUUUAGCUAAAGCAAAUUCAUAGUCUGUUGGAGGUGUAGCGAAGGAGUUUUAAAGGGUGUUUCACAAGACAAAACUAAACCAAAUAUUGUGAAAGCAAAUAUUACAAACAAAAUGGAUUUUUCCUGGUAUUUAGUUGAAGAUGCUUCAAUAAACAAACCAAAAUAUGAAAUUGACUACUGAAUGAUAAUCACGAAAAAAAAAUUCAAAAGGGAAACGAUUCAAUUUUUGCAAAAAGGAAUCAGUUCAUUUUUAUAUUUAUUUUUUACUUUUUUUUAAUUAUUAUUUUUUAAUCAUAUUUAUGUUGUCGCUUAUAUUUUUAGAUAGAAAAAGAACACUUUUCGUUAUUAAAGUUUCUUUGUUUAUUUUCAGCUAAGCUCGCCUUUGCAUGCGCCUGACAUAAGAAUUUCAAAUUGCAAUGAAAUUCCUUCGUGUUUACAUGGUUUUUAUUUCGAUAAACAUCAUAUGCAUUAAAUUGCACGGGCUUCAUACUUACCCAAAAGUUCAACUAGCACAUCGAUUUCCUCACUCGCCUUAUCUUAUUUUUAAAUGGGAGACUGAUCUUUAAGAAAUUGCUAUAAAGAAAAGUCUUUACCACGUGAGGUUUAUCACCUUCAGUUAUCCUCCCAGAUUUUGGGACCAAGUAAUUCGUUUCAAGCUAACACCAGUGUCAAAUACAUCGAUCUACCGUUCUUCUGUCUUCAAAAUUUCUUAAAUAGUUCUUAAUUCACCAUCCUUAAUUGCAACUUUAAAGCUCUUUCAGGCGAUAUAAACUAUUCGGUAAAUUAUAGCUAUGUCAAGUUUAUUUAAAAUAGAAUACUUCACGGAAUAGUUAAUAGUGUAUUAUACUAAAAAUUAUUAAAAAGUUUUUACCAAAAGCAAAAAAAUAGUUUGGUUUAGCUACAAAUAAAAAAUAAAUCAUUUUGAUUUUAUUCAGCAAUAGGUUAGCAAAGAAUACCGACAUACUAUAGUACAGAAUUAUCAUGGUGUAAAGUUUCAUAAAAUGAGUGAGAAUGAACGAAGCUUUGACAAACUUAACAGUUAUCUAGUCACAAGAUGUAAUAUGGAAUCAAUCAACAAAUUUAUACGAAUAUGUAUACAUGUAUUUUUUAAUGAAUAUUAAGAUUCUAACAAGAUUUGGUGUGUAGUUAGCACGACCUGCUUUUGGCCCAGAGACAAAAUACGGCUGUUAUUAUAGAGACGUGACUUUCUUUAAAAUGGGACCACGUUAUCUUGAAAAAAGACUUUAUUUCGUAAAAGAGUGUUUGGAAGGGCGCUCAUUUGAAAAUUAUCAAUUAACGACUUUUAUACAGCGCAGUUUCGGUACAAGUGAAGCGCUUGUGGGGACAAAUUUUAGCUUGCUUUGUUUGACAUAAUAGCCCAGUCUAGUUCCUUGGUCACAUUCUCACAAAUAAUUAUUGUGUCAUACGGAAAAUAGGCAGAAAUGUGUAAUCUUCUGUUGCCCUUUUCUCAAAUCCUUACUAUUAUAUUAAUGUUCAACGCUAGUCCUAUUUAUGGCAUAUCAACUUUAUUAAAAGGCUUCAAGUAAGAACAACUCACAGUUAUUAACUUUUAUAAAGUUCAAAGUUGCAAAAUGGUACAUGGACAUUUAUGUGGCUGCAGAGGCAGUGAGCAUGGACUGAGGUACUUGUUAUAAAAUAGAUGACACACUGGUAGAUAUUAGUACACUUUUCCUUGUAAUCAACAUUCAUGGUAUAAAUUAAGUAUAGCUCUGGAUGGCUGGAAACCACCAUGUUUGACUAUUUCUACCUAAAACAAGGACAACUAAACAAGAAUUAUAGCUAGCUAGUUAAUUGUAGCGAAAGUAAAAGAAAUGGAUAAUCGAAUAUCAAGCUUAAAGAAUCAAGAUAUGGGUAAUCAUUAAAGACCAUUGUCAAGUUAGGACAACAGAUCGUAAAAAUACUAAAAAUCCUAAUAGCAUGAUUAUUUGAAAGUGAAUAUUUCAUUCCACGGACUACAUACCUUUAUGGUUUAGCAUCUCUUAAAAUAACUUUAAAGAAAUUGCGAGUGAAUGGGAUGUCGUGCCAUAUACUUUUGCGGAUGACGGAUUUUAUUUUUUUGGUGAAUCCAGACUUAAGGUAGAUGUAACUAACAGCUAACAAAAUGAUCAUUUAACAAAAGCAUUUACAGUUCGUCAUAAUUUUUUCCCUGUCCCUGUGCACUGGUAAGUCAAACCAGUUUAAACUAUACCCACCUUUCGUCAGCUAUUUAGCUAGCUACACUUGCUAGUUUUUAAAUAUGGUGGUAGUAACUAUUGUUUUAAAAAUGACAAUGAAAACUAGCAAUAUGGGGCCAACAAUAACAUUUCUUUCUUGUUUGACACUUGACUGUUUAGCUAGGCUAACCAUAUGACAGAUAUCAACAGUUUUUAAUCCUUAACAACUUUGAAUUUUGUGUCGUUUGGAUAAAAUACAGUCCAUAAACCAUUAAAGAUUACCCUUUCUUUGAUUUUAGUGUUAUAAUAGUAAAGAUGUUAAAUUUUUUGUUAAUGUUGUUGUUUUCGUCUUGUUGCGCUACCAUUAUGAAAAUUUGUCCCUACAAGCGCUUUACUCGUGCCCAGAAUUUACUGUAUGAAAUUUAGUAAUAGACUCAAUAUAACACAACCAAUUUACCAACACCUAUAAGUGCUCCUGGGUUCAAAUCAGAAGCACCUUGGGCGUUCUUUAUCAUAUUUUAUUGCAAGGACAAUACUAUUCUGUCUAACACUAUGUUAUUUACUAACGUCUUUUUCCUUCUUUGAUAAAUAAAGUUCCUUAAACGACAAGCCUUUUAAAGAUACUGUUUUUUUGAAGAAAAAUCGCACAUAUUGGUUUCAACAAACUAUUACAUUCCCAUAACAGGAUGUCGUGGCAAUUAUCAUACCUUUUUUAUCAUAAACAAAAUCAUGGGGUACAAGAUUGAAUACCCUGCAACCUUCAAACGUUUUCGAAAUUCUCUUGUGGCUAUAGAUCCAUAGAAAUUCUUUAUAAUUGUUCUCAGAUUUACGUUCGUCGUACAUAUUUCCCGCAUUAACACUUUGUGUAUUUUUAUCCGCUGCGGCGCAACCAUUUUAAACAUGGCCAGACUAUUAUGGAGCUUCACACAAAGAAUACUAAGGAAUGUUUUUCGUAUUGCAUGCUAAACAUGAACUAACUCUAAAUACGAAGAUACAGGUGUAUGUACUAACACAAAGUAGAAAACACAGACACACGAACCA